GCCGAAUGAUUGCCCUGCCUUGAUGGGACGGCCACCAAACUCUUGAAUCAUACAAACGUAACCGCGUUGGUGGCACCACGCGUCGUACACAACCUUUGGAUCGAGCGUCAUUCCGGCGAGCCAUGGACCCGACUUGCCCGAUUGCGCGUCACGGAUGUGAUAGGCGCGAAUGAAACGUUCGGGCAGUGUUUGAGCUUCAUUUCGCUGAUAGCGAAACUUUUCGUCCGGCGCGAAAUCGUCGAAGAAUUCGCUGCUCGGUAUCACGCCACGUGCACUUGCGCCCCGUGCAAUCGCGCCCCGUGCAAUCGCGCCUUUGUCCGCUUGAUAGUCUUGAUAACUCAGGUAGACCUCGCUGAACGUAUUACCACGCUCAUGCUUGAUAUGUCCGG
This 389-nucleotide unclassified non-coding RNA is filed under the name uncultured fungus. RNAcentral's name for it is "sequence contains ITS1". The record is from RNAcentral. Lineage: Eukaryota; Fungi.